Homo sapiens (human) is the source of this 1393-nucleotide long non-coding RNA. Ensembl annotates it as long intergenic non-protein coding RNA 2347. NCBI's taxonomy places the organism in Eukaryota, Metazoa, Chordata, Mammalia, Primates, Hominidae. The record is from Ensembl.
GAAACUGAUUAGAGCCAAGAUAGCCAACCAAAUGACUUCAGGAAGACCUCAGGCUUCAUUAUCAUCUCAUUUCCAUGCUAAAAAAACCCAGCUCCCUAGAACAAUGGGAAAUAUUGGGCACUUCAUCAGGCGAGUUCAGGUGCAUUUCUAGAGAUUGUCCAGGUGCUGGUAACAAUAAUAGAGAACCAUCCAUAUCCACAAGAGGCAGAACCUCUUCCAGCAAAAUGGUGCUGCCUCACCCAAAGGUCUCAUCCGCUGAGCAGUGCCUCCUCCCGAUUCAGCACGUCCCUGGUGCCGACUUUCUGCACGUGUUCACUUUGAGGCUGCAUUGUGGGCCUGCAAGAAAUGCAAAGCUGGUUGAGGCUUUAUUCAAUUCAAAUUCAAGCUGUUAAAUCGAGGCUCUCAGACUCCUGCUGCCUGGCCAGUGGAGAAAUUAACUUUCACAUAUGGCUUUGGGAUUUCUCUCUGUCAUCCUGGUCGACGUGUUCUCUCAUUUUUCUGAAGUCUGGGACCUCAACACAGACAUCUGGGUGAAGGCCUUGACAGCAGCGCUGGUGCAAAAUGAAUUGUCACAUCACACCCAACGUUCUCAACCUUUAGAAUCUGAAAGUAAGAAAAACACCUCAAACAUUGAUUCUGAGUAAUCAGCACAGAUUUCUAAAAGAAACUUUAUGGGAUGCUGAGACAUGAAUAAAAACAACUUUAUUCCUUUGGAAAGGACAACCCACAUGCUAAGAAGAUGACACUACACGUUGUUAUAGCCCGAAAGGCCCUCUUUCCACAGGGGAGCAGUGAAAAGUAGAGGUUGCCCAUGUGGAUUCCCAAGUCAGAUAGAUGUGGAUUCAGAUCCCAGCUCUGCUGCUUGCUACCCAAGAGACCAUGGACUGUGGACUCUUUAGGUCUCAGGGUUUUUGUUUGUUGUCUGUUUUUCACUUCCAAAACCAGAAAAUGAGAAGAUAUUUUCCAUAAGAUGGCGGUGGAGAAGAGAACUUGAUGGACCUUGCUUGGACAAAAUGCCUUCACCGCUAACUCAGUCAGCUAUGGCGAUGGGUCAAGGACCUGGUGGUUUUACAGAGAAGACCCUUGGUCAAAUCUUUGUGAAUGAAGCAACCAUUCUGAUGUUCAAUAACAGGAAUGCACCAGUUUAUACCAAACUAUCUGUACUAUUGAGAACAGCAAAAAUAUCUGACCAAAAACACCAAAGAGUGACAUUUUAAAAGACAUCAAAGAACUCUCAAGGCUUCCAGAGUUGGAAAGAUCAAGAAAGAGAGAAUGCAACUUCAUUAAGACACAAAAAGGAACAGGAUACAGAAGUGGAGGCAGUUCAGCGAAAAAGAUGAGAAGAAGGAGAAUGUCCACAAAUAAAUUUCACUUAUAAAAGUUCAGAUAAAAA